UACGUAGGGGGCAAGCGUUGUCCGGAAUCAUUGGGCGUAAAGAGCGUGUAGGCGGUUCGGUAAGUCCGUCGUGAAAGUCCAGGGCUCAACCCUGGAAUGCCGAUGGAUACUGCCGGACUAGAGUUCGGAAGAGGCGAGUGGAAUUCCUGGUGUAGCGGUGAAAUGCGCAGAUAUCAGGAGGAACACCUAUGGCGAAGGCAGCUCGCUGGGACGCAACUGACGCUGAGACGCGAAAGCGUGGGGAGCAAACAGG
Molecule: ribosomal RNA, 253 nt
Filed under: uncultured bacterium
Lineage: Bacteria
Description: partial 16S ribosomal RNA
Rfam family: Bacterial small subunit ribosomal RNA
Source: RNAcentral